Long non-coding RNA from Peromyscus leucopus (white-footed mouse), 9487 nucleotides. RefSeq lists it as uncharacterized. The transcript has 10 exons. The record is from RefSeq and is a predicted model, not a curated record. Lineage: Eukaryota; Metazoa; Chordata; Mammalia; Rodentia; Cricetidae.
CACUAGAUACAGCAGAGCAGUCAACAUCAUGAGGCACCAGUGAAGGGGACGUCCCAGGCUGAAGCCACAGUCAACUGUGCACCAAGGUCCUUCCCUGUUGGUGGCUGGGCAGUGUGAACACAAAGUCUUGCUGUGUCAGUGAGGGCCCGGGCCCUGGGAAUCUCUAACUUCUGCUGCAGUUGUUGCUGUGUCUGAUGCUCCUGCUGCCAAAACCUAGGUCAAGGGUUUGAAAACACAAGUUUGCAACCUCAAACCAGGACAUUUCUAUGUCAGAGAGGAUAAUGUCUAGAUUUGCAAUGUCAGACCAGGUCCACCUGUUAUUCCUAAUGUGAGAAAUCUGGGCAUCUGUGCUCUUCACAUCGGGUGCUUCAAGAUACUACACAAGAGAAUCAGGGAUUGCCUGUUAAAUGUGACCUGCUUCCCUUGGGGUUUCAAUCCCAAAAGCCCAUCCUAUGUUCAACAACAAAGCAGCUCCCCUGAAAGAGUUCAACUGGACAGACAGAGUGUGUCAAGACCUGUGGGUCCUGAUGUCCAUUGAAGAGGCCAACUGUGGGAGGCUGAUCUGGAUUCCAGUUCCUGUAUACUCUGGGCACCCACUGUUCUAGACGAGAUGUCUGCAAUAUUACAGGACUCUCCACUGUGGCAUUCCAGGAGCACUCCCUCAAAAGGCAGUGAUUGCUUACAAAACAUCCAUCAAUUUCCAAUCCUCAGUCUUUCACAUCUGAGGAGCCUGGAGGAGGAGACUCUACUAAUUUUUCAUGGCAGCCAUGUGACCUAUGUCUUUCUAUUUCCUGGGCAUUGUGUUCUCAAUUAUGGGAUCUCGGACUACAAACGUGGGUGGUGCGUUGUUGCUGAGGGUCAUGCCUGACUAGAGCAAGACUUGACUGGAAGAGGAUCAAUUGUCCAGAUGGAAUCUAAUGAUUCUGGUGACUAGCCGAGGGACUAUGGUCAAGGCUCUAAGGGGACACCUUGAGAUCUCCCUGCAGUUCAGAUGGACAGACAAGAAAUAAUGAGCUCUGACCUGUAUUCUGAUAGCACAGAGUGGGGCAUCAGCCAGGUCUUGUCACAAGCAUCUGCAGAUGAAAGUCUGGAUGCUUAGUAUCUCUUGCUAUAUAUCCAGUCCAUGGGACACUGGGCAACCCAAGAGGCCAUUGUGAUUUCAGUGCAACAGGACUCUUCAGAGGGAACUAUAUUCUCAAGUGCAGAGGAUACUGGGAUAGCUAUCCAAAGCAUCAGAUUAUCAGGCAAGAAGCACUGAGUGUGUCUUGAAGCCCUACAUGCCAAGAAGAAAAUAAACUCAUUUUCAUGGGGCACUAAUGCUGGCCCUUUCCAACCCCCAACUCCAUUUAAUCUAGGUCCAAUUAUCCAGUUGAUAUUACGUUACAACAAUCACAGUAAAACCAUGCUCCAGAUAAUGGGAAAGAUUUUAGCGACAGGGUUCUGGACCUUGCUGUCUUUCCAUGCCUGUAUGGACAUUUAGAAUGUGUGCAGUCUCUGGAAGGUCCUGUGUCAGCUGUAGGCUGGGCUUAGCUGUGGCUUUUUCUCCAUCUAAUGCAGAAGCCCUUGUGCCAAUAUGUGAUCCUGUUGACAAGGCAGUUCUGCCCUUCAAGCCCACGGGAUGAUUCACCUGUCUCCAUAUAAACACAGCCCAGCAUGCCCUUACCGGGUGAUACAGUCACUAUGGUGACACUAAGACAAGAAGGACUAUGACAGUAGGAAGUGGGAUGGGAAGACAUCAUGAGGCCCAGCUGUACCUGGGACGUAGACAGCGAAACCACCAAUCCCCCUUCAGACCUGCUUUCUAUACUGGUGUCCUUGUACUGAAGCUCUGUCACAGAGAAGGCAACAAUUUCUCCCCGAAACUCCUUCAGCCUUCAUUUUGAGUCUUCUAGAUCGGAAGAACCUGGAGAAGGGUCUCUCCAGAUGUGUCAGAGGGAGUCCCUGUGACCUGGGUCACUACAUCUCUUGGGAUUUUGUUCCAGGUGUGGGCUAUCUGAUAGAGCUGGACUCACAGUUCUAGCCAUGCAGCCUCUUCCUCACUUUCAGGAAUGUGCCUGCUCCUGGCAUGUGCCUGCUCCUGGCAUGUGCCUGCUCCUGUCUCCCUGUAGCAUCAUGGGGGUGGUUCUUUCUCCACAGCUCUGACCCCAUUUUACCUACAAGGAAUGAGAGAGAAGACUGGGACUGAAGUUUGAGGCCAGCUUCUGGGCUUCCUUUGUGCAAUGAUCUGAGCUGUUCUUUUGUCAGUUGUCAUUGGAUGGACAUGACCAUGUGACAAUCUCUCAGGAAGGGCUGGAUCCCAGUCUGGUGUCCAGGCUGUCCACAGGGAGCUGGCACUCUGGAAGAGUCCAGGACAAUCAAGAAGACAAAGGUGCUGAGAUACAGCAGAGCAGUCAACAUCAUGAGGCACACGUGAAGGGGACGUCCCAGGCUGAAGCCACAGUCAACUGUGCACCAAGGUCCUUCCCUGUUGGUGGCUGGGCAGUGUGAACACAAAGUCUUGCUGUGUCAGUGAGGGCCCUGGCCCUGGGACUCUCUAACUUCUGCUGCAGUUGUUGCUGUGUCUGAUGCUCCUGCUGCCAAAACCUAGGUCAAGGGUUUGAAAACACAAGAGUGCAACCUCAAACCAGGACAUUUCUAUGUCAGAGAGAACAAUGUCUAGAUUUGCAAUGUCAGACCAGGUCCACCUGUUAUUCCUAAUGUGAGAAAUCUGGGGAUCUGUGCUCUUCACAUCGGUGCUUCGGGAUACUACACAAGAGAAUCAGGGAUUGCCUGUUAAAUGUGACCUGCUUCCCUUGGGGUUUCAAUCACAAAAGCCCAUCCUAUGUUCAACAACAAAGCAGCUCCCCUGAAAGAGGUAGAAUUCAGAGCCCAGUGAGGAACUGGGCACGCAGUUCAACUGGACAGACAGAGUGUGUCAAGACCUGUUGGGCCUGAUGUCCAUUGAAGAGGCCAACUGUGGGAGGCUGAUCUGGAUCCCAGUUCCUGUAUACUCUGGGCACCCACUGGUCUAGACGAGAUGUCUGCAAUAUCACAGGACUCUCCACUGUGGCAUUCCAGGAGCUCUCCCUCAAAAGGCAGUGAUUGCUUACAAAACAUCCAUCAAUUUCCAAUCCUCAGUCUUUCACAUCUGAGGAGCCUGGAGGAGGAGACUCUACUAAUUUUUCAUGGCAGCCAUGUGACCUAUGUCUUUCUAUUUCCUGGGGAUUGUGUUCUCAAUUAUGGGAUCUCGGACUAGAAACGCGGGUGGUGCAUUGUUGCUGAGGGUCAUGCCUGACUAGAGCAAGACUUGACUGGAAGAGGAUCAAUUGUCCAGAUGGAAUCUAAUGAUUCUGGUGCCUAGCCGAGGGACUAUGGUCAAGGCUCUAAGGGGACACCUUGAGAUCUCCCUGCAGUUCAGAUGAACAGACAAGAAAUAAUGAGCUCUGACCUGUAUUCUGAUAGCACAGAGUGGGGCAUCCGCCAGGUCUUGUCACAAGCAUCUGCAGAUGAAAGUCUGGAUGCUUAGUAUCUCUUGCUAUAUAUCCAGUCCAUGGGACACUGGGCAACCCAAGAGGCCAUUGUGAUUGCAGUGCAACAGGACUCUCCAGAGGGAACUAUAUUCUCAAGUGCAGAGGAUACUGGGAUAGCUAUCCAAAGCAUCAGAUUAUCAGGCAAGAAGCACUGAGUGUGUCUUGAAUCCCUACAUGCCAAGAAGAAAAUAAACUCAUUUUCAUGGGGCACUAAUGCUGGCCCUUUCCAACCUGAAACUCCAUUUAAUCUAGGUCCAAUUAUCCAGUUGAUAUUACGUUACAACAAUCACAGUAAAACCAUGCUCCAGAUAAUGGGAAAGAUUUUAGCGACAGGGUUCUGGACCUUGCUGUCUUUCCAUGCCUGUAUGGACAUUUAGAAUGUGUGCAGUCUCUGGAAGGUCCUGUGUCAGCUGUAGGCUGGGCUUAGCUGUGGCUUAUUCUCCAUCUAAUGCAGAAGCCCUUGUGCCAAUAUGUGAUCCUGUUGACAAGGCAGUUCUGCCCUUCAAGCCCACGGGAUGAUUCACCUGUCUCCAUAUAAACACAGCCCAGCAUGCCCUUACCGGGUGAUACAGUCACUAUGGUGACACUAAGACAAGAAGGACUUUGACAGUAGGAAGUGGGAUGGGAAGACAUCAUGAGGACCAGCUGUACCUGGGAAGUAGACAGCGAAACCACCAAUCCCCCUUCAGACCUGCUUUCUAUACUGGUGUCCUUGUACUGAAGCUCUGUCACAGAGAAGGCAACAAUUUCUCCCCGAAACUCCUUCAGCCUUCAUUCUGAGUCUUCUAGAUCGGAAGAACCUGGAGAAGGGUCUCUCCAGAUGUGUCAGAGGGUGGCCCUAUGACCUGGGUCACAACUUAUCUUGGGAUUUUGUUCCAGGUGUGGGCUGUCUGAUAGAGCUGGACUCACAGUUCUAUGUCCUUGCAUUUACUGGGCAUUGUGUUCUCAAUUGUUGGAUCUCUCACCACAAAGGCAGGUGGUUUAUUGUUGCUGAGGGUCAUGCCUGACUAGAACAAGACUUGACUGGAAAAACAAUGUCAAUUCUCUCACAUAAGCAAGAGAUGGAGAAGGGAUGUGAGGCCAUUGUGCACAGGGAACAAAUGUCCAAAUGGAAUCUAAUGUGAUGAUCUGGUGCCUCGCAGAGGGACUAUGGUCAAGGCUCAAAGGGGACACCUCGAGAUCUCCCUGCGCUUCAGUUGAACAGACAAGAAGUAAUGAACUCUGACCUAUCUUCUGAUAGUACAGUGUGGGGCAUCAACCAGGUCUGGACACAGGCAUCUGGAGAUGAAAGUCUGAAUGCUUACUAUCUCCUGCUGCAUGUCCAGUCCAUGGGACACUGGGCAACCCAAGAGGACAUUGUGAUUGCAGUGCCAAAGGAGUCUCCACAGGGAACUAACUCCAUUCUCAAGAGCAGAGAAUACUGUGAUAGCCAUUCAAAGCAUCUAAUGAUCAGGCAAGAAGCAAUGAGGAUGUCUUCAAGCCCUACAUGCCAAGUAGAAAAUAAACUCAAUCUCACGAGGCACUAAUGAUGGCCCUUCCACACCCCGGCCCAAACUCCAUGUACUGUAUGUCCAAUUACUCAGUCAACAUUUCCUUACAACAAUCACAGUAGCUCCAGAUUUGGGGGAAGUUAUUUGGAACACAGAUCUGGACCACUCUCCUUCCAUGUCUGUAUGGACAUUUAGGAUGUGUGCAGUCUCUGGAAGGUUCUGUGCCAACUGCAGGCUGGGCUGAGCUGGGGCUUUCUCACCAUCUAAUGCAGAAGCCCUUGUGCCAAUAUGCGAUCCUGUUGACCAGGCUAUUCUGCUCUUCAAGCCAAAGUGCUGAUUCACCUGUCUCCAUAUAAAUACAGCCCAGCAUGCCCUUACCGUGUGAUCUGUCACUAUGGUGACACUAAGACAAGAAGGACUUUAAAAGUAGGAAGUGGGAUGGGAAGACAUUGUGAGGCCGAGCUGUACCUGAAAUCUAGACAGCGAAACCACCAAUCCCCCUUCAGAACUGCUUUCUAUACUGGUGUCCUUGUACCGAAGCUCUGUCACAGAGAAGGCAACAAUUUAUCCCCGAAACUCCUUCAGCCGUCAUUCUGAGUCUUCUAGAUGGGAAGAACCUGGAGGAGGGUCUCAGAUAUGUCAGAGGGUGGCCCUGUGACCUGGGUCACUACAUUUCUUGGGAUUUUGUUCCAGUUGUGGGCUGUGUGACAGAGCUGGGCCCACAGUUCUAGCCAUGCAGCCUGUUCCUCACUUCCUGGCAUGUGCCUGCUCCUGGCAUGUGCCUACUCUUGGCAUGUGCCUGCUCUUGGCAUGUGCCUGCUCCUGGCAUGUGCCUGCUCCAGUCCUUAUGCAGUACCCUGGGAGCGGUUCUUCCUCCACAGUCCUGAUGGUCACCAUUCUUACCUACGAAGAAUUUGAGAGAGGACUGCAUCUGAGUUUUGAGCCCAAGUUCUGGGCUUCCUUUGUGCAAUGAUCUGAGCUGUUCUUUUGUCAGUUAUCAUUGGAUGGAUAUGGCCUUGUGACACGCCCUCAGGAGGGGCUGGAUCACAGGAUCGGUAGUCUGGUCUUCAAGCUGUCCACAGGGAGCUGGCACUCUGCCAGUGUCCAGGUCAAUCAUGAAGACAAAGGUGCUGAGGAAAUUCCACCUGAAAACAGGUGGGGAACCUAAUGGACAUGAAGCAGUGUCAGAACUUGCUGGAGAACUCUGUGACUGCUGUGACUGCUCUGCGAGAGUGGGAGCCUUGACCUUGGCCCACACAUGUGCUGUUCUUCUUUGGAUGCCAGUCAGGACAACGAGAUCUCUGUCCCUCAGAAUUGCCUUGGUUGUUGAUUUAGGGGAUCUCCAACACCUCAGCUUAGUUUUCUAGCUUUAGAUAAUAUUUAAUGUUCGCAUUGUAGAUUAUUUACCCCUGUUCUUUAUGCCCAGUUUACAUUACCAAACUUAAUAUGGUUGUAACAGUAAGUAUGCAAUGUUUUAGGACAUGGCUACCCCCAUUGGCAUGCUCAGAGCCUUUGCCCAAGGGUGUUCUUAUACACCUGUGAAGAGAGCAAGCCAGGAACUUGUAUCCUUACACAGGGAUGAGAACACACUAAAUCUCAGAGCAUGACUUGCCACAGUGUGGUCCCUGAGUCUGGAAGCUCCUGGCUCCACUGUUCAAGCGUCUUUGUCUAUUCUGUGUUGGGACCUUUUCCACCCCUUAGUUGGUAGUGUCCACAGACCCUUCUGUAGAGACUGGAGUCCAGAAAGCCCAGGGCAGGGUUUCCAGCAGGACCCUGACCCAUGUUGGUUGUCCUGGCUUCCAUCCCUGCCUUCACCAAUCAAUGUUCUCAUGUCUGUCCUUAGAGCUCGUCUGCUCCCGUGCCCUGCACUGGGUGAGGAGGUUGGGAGCAAGCAUCAAAUGAAUGAAAUACAGGCUCUGGAUUCUCUCAGAAAGCCUGCAUCAGACCCCCGAGGCUCUGAGAAGCCGACCAUCUGGUCAAGAACAAAUAUUCUCUGAGGCCAUGAAGACAAGGUAGAGAGUGGGUGCCCCAAGGAAGUGGGUCAGAGGUCUCCCUCCCUGCAUUAUUCAAAUCCUCCUUUGUAGGGCACACUAACAAAUCCACAUAGUCCUAUCUCCCAGAAGACAGGUCAAGGUGUUGCUGUCAGAAGGGCAGGCGACAUGAGCCAUUCAGAACUUCACUAUGAAACAGAGCCAAGACUCAGAUUACUUUUCCCACGGUCUUCCUCAGUCUCAUCUUAAAACUGAAGAUCACCCAGGACAUCCUCUUUUCCUUGAAGUGUGACGAACAGGAUACUUAGUGUGCUCGGGACUGCCUGGGAACGGGUGUACUUGCCAGGAAGACUUCUGACCACCAGGUGGAAGGCACUCAAGUGACCCCAGAAUGGUAAAAUUAAAAACCAUCGAAGAAUCAACAAUAUAAUGAGAGAGAAAAGAGCCUACAAGCUGCAUGAAAUCAGCCAAGUCCUGCCAUGCCUGAGGUCCACUGUUCUUUUCCAAGUCAGGCUUUGCCUUGCAGAGUCCCGUUGGACAGGCAUUCAUAUGAGGAUCAGAGACUAGGCUGCAUGACACCCUAUACUGAAUACUGUGCCUGUGUGUGAGACCGAGUUAAGGUGCAGUGUGUCCUUCUGAGAAAAGGAAAACAAGGCUGAGUAAGGCCUCCCCUGAGGCCUGAGGAAAUGUUCCACACAAAACAUUCAGGAUGGAUCUUACUACCUCAGAGACACCUCUCCAGAAACACCCUCAGAUAUGUGCCUGGAUUUCUGUCUCUUAAGAAAACCUAGUUCCUGCCACACUACCUAGAAUCCAGUCUCAACCUCAGAUAUCAUUAUUGUGGGUACUGCUCUGCAAGGGCCUUCACAUUCAGGCUCUAUUGGCUAGGUCUCCAGGAAGAGGUGGAUCUCUCUUUCUUGGCUGCUGCCUCUUCCUCAAGCCAGGGGACCUCUUUUCUUCAGCCACCUGAGAAGUGCCCAAUACCACACACCUACCACAGCAUGGGCAGCAAUACCAGGAGAAUCAUUAGACUCUAAAUGUGUAUACUUUUACAGUCCAUCUGAGUGAUACCAGGACAUUUUUGGCUUUGGAGAAAUAAACCUUGCUCUGCAAUAUUGACCCCAACUCACCACAUUUGGGAACCCAGAAAAAAUGCUCAACUCCCUCAGACAUUCUGUCUCAUUGGUGAGACCACCAGGGCAGGAGGACAGCCCAUGGUCUGCUGAGUCAUCUGCAUUCUUCCCCCUAUUUUCUCUCCCUUCAUCCUCCCUCCUCCCUUUCCACCUGACUCGCAAACAUUAGCUCUGGGGUUUUCUGUCUUAAGCUCAUGUCUCUUCCACUCGGCAUGAGGGGAAACAUCAGGUUCCUCAAACUCAGAAGGAUCAUAUGACAAAACUGUGUAUUAUUUCCUUCCCAUACUCCAACUGUGAUAUUUAUGACACCCAAUUAAACCAUGCUUCCCAUAUGAUCUCUAAAGUGUCUUGAGUUUACCUGUGCAAUAGACACCACUCUAGAUAGAGCUUGCCUGACCUGCUGUCCUUACAGAACUGCCCUUAUUCAGCACCCUCACUUGGUCCUCCUUCAGCAUCCUCUCAUGGUCCUUAUUCACCAACCUCACUUGGUCAUCCUUCAGCAUCCUCACCUGUUUCUUAUUCACCAUCUUCACCUGGUCCUCUAUCAGCCUCCUCACCUAGUCCUGCCCAUUUCCAUCCUCCCUGUCCUCACUCUGUGUAAUCAGAGUCUGAGGCAGUAUGGGUUAGAGGAAGAUGGCCAGGAUUGAGAUCUAAAGUUCUUAUCCAUAAACCUGUGUCUCUCUGCAUAAAGAAGUGGGGACAGUCUUAACUGGGUACAGCCCAACAAAAGAAUCAACAAGGAAGAUACACAUCCCUAAAGCAAUCAACAUGAGACACUUUUUUUUUAUUUUUUCUCAUUAAAUUUAUUUAUUUUACAUGCCAACCCCAGGUUCCCAGUAGCAAAAGACACUCCCAUUACCUUUCAUAAUAAAGAGAAUCUUCUAAGAUACAAAGAAAAAUAAAGUACCUGAUCUUCCCUUACUGUAGCUUUGUCAAAUGUUAUACUUCAUUCUGCUUUAGGAGUCAUUGGUACCCACCACUCCACUGCCUUCUGGAAUGUUCCUCCAAAUAUUUCCACCAAUGCAUUUUUGAUCUACCUUGAUUUAUCUUUGUUCUGAUACUGCCCUGAAACAGCUUCCAUGUGGGAGAAUGAAACCUGAGGUAACCAGACUCUGUGUUUCCUGGGACCUGAUCAAUCAAAUUUUGUUCCAGAAUUAACUGUCUCUCAUUCCCUUUGAGGUUUAGAGCUGUAAUUUUGCACUGUUGGAACAGUGAAGACAGGUUUUUAGAGCAGAGAUGAGGAACAGAAGCCAUGGUGCAGGAGCAGGGAACCUCAAAAUUCUUGCCUGGACAAGAAUUUGCCUAUCAUUGAGUGGGGGAUGGAAUGAGAGUGUCAAGGGGCAGAUAUGGUGAUAUUUUAUUUG